AUAUUAAUAUAGUUCUAAAAGUUGUGUAAAUGUGAAUACAUGUGUUCUUUGUUGUUUUGUUUGAGAGUAACAUUGUUCAAUGUAAAGUAAGUGUGAAGUAGAUUGUAAGUGGAUUUCCACAGUCGUACACGUGAUGGCAGACUUUGGUCACAAGGCGGCAGCAUUGAGUAGUAUUGUUGUUGUUCCGCCAAGUGCAUCAUGGUCUUUCUUCCUGUUAAUGUGCGAUGGACGUACAAGGGAUUGGUGCGGAGACUUCGUUGUGUAGAAUAGUAGACAGUUUGAUUUAGGCACUACUGGAAUUGUAUGCUGGGAUUUUGGGCGCCAAUCGUCGACCAUUGUGUACUAAAUUUCAUGGUAAUGCUAACAUGCAUUUAGUCAGACCCUGAUAUUGUAUUUUGGUACUCGGAAACUGUUGCAGGUUUUACAUAAAGUGUAACUCUGUUUGAAGGUAAUUGACGUUGAAAGUACGUUGAGUUGUGCGAUCUCCGGGAAGUUCCACGUGGGUUUGGUGAAACUUGGUGAAGUGUAAGUGUCAUUUACAGUUGUACAUUUUAUACACUGAUGCUGAUAUAAGUGGGUUUAUGGUUGUUAACAUGAUUUAUUUUAUGUUUUCUGUCGAUGGUCAUAGCCCACUGCCGUAUUUUGUAUUGUGUUUUUUUUUAUUUUAUUUCUCUGCAUUUUAUUUUUAUUUUGCCUCUUCAUUCAUUCCAACAUUUGGGUGUUAGAGACUGUUACAAAAUCCAGCAUUUGAGCUGUUACGGGAACGACCCAGUAGCAUACCACUCUGUAAAUUGAACUGUACAUGUGGUCAGGAAUAAACCUGGAGCUACAGGAACCCCUGAA
Molecule: long non-coding RNA, 843 nt
Organism: Micropterus salmoides (largemouth bass)
Lineage: Eukaryota; Metazoa; Chordata; Actinopteri; Centrarchiformes; Centrarchidae
Exons: 2
Source: RefSeq, a predicted model, not a curated record